Small nuclear RNA from Pteronotus mesoamericanus, 192 nucleotides. RefSeq annotates it as U2 spliceosomal RNA. The transcript has a single exon. The record is from RefSeq and is a predicted model, not a curated record. NCBI's taxonomy places the organism in Eukaryota, Metazoa, Chordata, Mammalia, Chiroptera, Mormoopidae.
AUUGUUUCUCAGCCUUUUGGCUAAAGUCAAGUGUAGUAUCUGUUCUUAUCAAUUUAGAAAAAGAUAGGUUCAGUUGGAAAGAAGAAUUCUAAGAUAUCUCUGAAAUUCUCAUUGUCUGAUACACACACCCUGGAAAAGCCUUUUUCUUUCACUGUCAGUGAGACCUGUGAAUAUGAUGGCAUAGGUGCUCUU